CAGCCGCCGCGGGAAAACGUAGGUGGCAAGCGUUGUCCGGAAUUAUUGGGCGUAAAGGGCUCGCAGGCGGUUUCUUAAGUCUGAUGUGAAAGCCCCGGGCUCAACCGGGGAGGGUCAUUGGAAACUGGGAAACUUGAGUGCAGAAGAGGAGAGUGGAAUUCCACGUGUAGCGGUGAAAUGCGCAGAGAUGUGGAGGAACACCAGUGGCGAAGGCGACUCUCUGGUCUGUAACUGACGCUGAGGAGCGAAAGCGUGGGGAGCGAACAGGAUUAGAUACCCCCGUAGUCCCUGUCUCUUAUAC
This 301-nucleotide ribosomal RNA is filed under the name uncultured bacterium. Its description in RNAcentral is "partial 16S ribosomal RNA". It matches the Rfam family "Bacterial small subunit ribosomal RNA", at positions 509 to 807 of the family's 1533-position model. The record is from RNAcentral.